CACGUAGGCACCAAGCGUUGUCCGGAUUUAUUGGGCGUAAAGAGCUCGUAGGCGGUUCAGUAAGUCGGGUGUGAAAACUCUGGGCUCAACCCAGAGACGCCACCCGAUACUGCUGUGACUUGAGUACGGUAGGGGAGUGGGGAAUUCCUGGUGUAGCGGUGAAAUGCGCAGAUAUCAGGAGGAACACCAGUGGCGAAGGCGCCACUCUGGGCCGUAACUGACGCUGAGACACGAAAGCGUGGGUAGCAAACAGG
This 254-nucleotide ribosomal RNA is filed under the name uncultured bacterium. Its description in RNAcentral is "partial 16S ribosomal RNA". It matches the Rfam family "Bacterial small subunit ribosomal RNA", at positions 524 to 776 of the family's 1533-position model. The record is from RNAcentral.